UAGGGAAUCUUCCGCAAUGGACGCAAGUCUGACGGAGCAACGCCGCGUGAGUGAAGAAGGAUUUCGGUUCGUAAAACUCUGUUGUUAGAGAAGAACAGCGCAUAGAGUAACUGUUAUGCGUGUGACGGUAUCUAACCAGAAAGCCACGGCUAACUACGUGCCAGCAGCCGCGGUAAUACGUAGGUGGCAAGCGUUGUCCGGAUUUAUUGGGCGUAAAGCGAGCGCAGGCGGUCAAUUAAGUCUGAUGUGAAAGCCCCCGGCUCAACCGGGGAGGGUCAUUGGAAACUGGUUGACUUGAGUGCAGAAGAGGAGAGUGGAAUUCCAUGUGUAGCGGUGAAAUGCGUAGAUAUAUGGAGGAACACCAGUGGCGAAGGCUACUCUCUGGUCUGUAACUGACGCUGAGGCUCGAGAGCGUGGGUAGCAAACAGG
RNAcentral lists this ribosomal RNA (429 nucleotides) under Bacteroidota bacterium. Its description in RNAcentral is "Bacteroidetes bacterium partial 16S ribosomal RNA". It matches the Rfam family "Bacterial small subunit ribosomal RNA", at positions 355 to 776 of the family's 1533-position model. The record is from RNAcentral. Lineage: Bacteria; Pseudomonadati; Bacteroidota.